This 263-nucleotide ribosomal RNA is filed under the name uncultured bacterium. RNAcentral's name for it is "partial 16S ribosomal RNA". It matches the Rfam family "Bacterial small subunit ribosomal RNA", at positions 92 to 354 of the family's 1533-position model. The record is from RNAcentral.
UUAGUGGCGGACGGGGUGAGUAACGCGUGGAAAACCUGCCGUAUACUGGGGGAUAACACUUAGAAAUAGGUGCUAAUACCGCAUAAGCGCACAGCUUCGCAUGAAGCGGUGUGAAAAACUCUGGUGGUAUACGAUGGUUCCGCGUCUGAUUAGCUAGUUGGUGGGGUAAUGGCCUACCGAGGCAACGAUCAGUAGCCGGCCUGAGAGGGUGAACGGCCACAUUGGGACUGAGACACGGCCCAAACUCCUACGGAAGGCAGCAG